RNAcentral lists this ribosomal RNA (315 nucleotides) under Triticum aestivum (bread wheat). RNAcentral's name for it is "partial small subunit ribosomal RNA". Lineage: Eukaryota; Viridiplantae; Streptophyta; Magnoliopsida; Poales; Poaceae. The record is from RNAcentral.
AUGAUGAGCAUCUAUUGGAGUCGACCAUUUCCAAGAUCUAAUUCUAGUUUCUUAUUAUGUAGUGGAAACGCCUCACAAUCUUCAGUUUUACGCUUACGCUUAAGGGAAGAAAUGUUCUUGGUGGAUGCAGGCCCUGGUACCCCCAAAAUUUGUAUGCAAGAUGAGCUUACAGGAAUGCCAAUCAAGCGAGCCACCAGGUUUGAGAAUAAGGUGGGAUCCAAGAAUGUAGUGGCUGGUGAAUCACUGAUCAAAAAGCGGAUUUUUGAGAGAUUCUUCAUCGAUCUAGUGGCUGGUGAAUCACUGAUCAAAGAGUGA